UAUUAUUUAGAGGGCGGGACUGAAACUGAAAUGAACAAGGCGCGGCCAAGAAUCCCCUUCACACGUGCAGACAAAGAGCGCCAACAACACAACCCAAAUAUGCACUUUUAAACUUUUUCAAACGCAAUGGACGACUUCCACGAACAUUGGAAAUGCAACGGUGGGUUGAAACUUGUUUUAUUUGGAAAGCUUUUUUUUCGGGAGGCCUAAAUUGGAAAAAGGACCUUGGAGCCGUACCUUUACAACAGGAUUUUAGCUGCAGGUCCUUUGAAUAACCAUCUACACUGUGGUGGAUUUACCCGCGACCCGGACCGGACUCAUGGAAUCGGAAUUGGAUUAUAUCUGCAGGCGCACAUCACAACAAAGACUCUCCAAAUUGGAUAGGCGUCUCAUCGGACCCUCAAGGACAACAUGGCAAGACUGAAGCUGGACAGCGUCCCUGAAAUGUGGGGGAGGGGGUUGAGGACUGAACGAUGAUGUUGCGCAUUGAAGGCCUUGUAUAUGAUUACAUUGACUGAUUUACACGCAUCUGUUCACAUUGCUGCCAUUUAUAGAUUACGUUAUUACAUUUAUUAUCCACCAGACAAUUCGCCUGGAGAGAGAAAGAGAGAGAGAGGGAGAGGGAGAAGUUACCUCACUAUACAACCCUUAUCCUCAAUGAUGUCAUUGAGAGCCAAUGAAAAGAUGCGAGGGGGGGCUCGGUAGAAUUCAGGCAAAGCCCCCGCCCCCUACGGCGCUCAUGGAACCACACAUGCACACACCGUGUUGCCAUAGUAGUCCUCGGCAGUAUCACAUUUUUGCCACACUGCAUUGCGAUAAAGUGGGGGGAGAAUAGGCUACGCGAAGCACAUGCCCGUUAUAAGGCUAUUUUCGUUGCAGCUUCUGCUUGUUGUAAAUGUCG
RNAcentral lists this long non-coding RNA (901 nucleotides) under Salmo salar (Atlantic salmon). RNAcentral's name for it is "lncRNA (ENSSSAG00000089598.1)". Lineage: Eukaryota; Metazoa; Chordata; Actinopteri; Salmoniformes; Salmonidae. The record is from RNAcentral.